Long non-coding RNA from Carassius auratus (goldfish), 1453 nucleotides. RefSeq lists it as uncharacterized. The record is from RefSeq and is a predicted model, not a curated record. NCBI's taxonomy places the organism in Eukaryota, Metazoa, Chordata, Actinopteri, Cypriniformes, Cyprinidae. The transcript is spliced from 3 exons.
CUGAAGUAGCAGGCUAAGUAACAGUUAGUGGUUUCUAAGAAAAAUGACUCACGGUUUGGUCAGGAGUCAGUUCAAGAGUCCGCUCUGAACGCUCUGAAGUCUGAUUCAAACCGCCUCACUCACGAGUCACGAGCGAGAUCGAGGCUGCCUUGUAAAUCUUUGACUGACUCAUUAAAAAGAACCGGUUUCAAAGAGUCAUUUGUUCGCCAGUCGGACAUCGCGGCUCGCUCUGUGUUCGUUGUUGCGCGCAGGAAACUCUGACACGUGUUCUAACGAGAUGACAUCUGAUGAAAACGCGCGUGGAUGCAGGCUCCUGCGCAUGCAAGGCUAUUUCCUCAAGACUCAUUAGAUGCUGCCCCAUGCAUUUCUACCAGAAGUAGGCAGUUUUGCUUGGAUUUUUUUUAUUUUUUAUGAUGGGGGCUUUCACACAGGCUGGUGAAAAUGCAACCAUAAACUCCACAUCUCCGCGCAGUUUCUCCUUCGCUGGAAGGCAUGAAUCCAGAGAAAUACUGAGAUGAGACACACUGGUCCAAUGUAGCAGUUUUUUGCCAGUGCUUAUUGAGAAGCAUCAUGCACUGAAAAUGAAUCGUGGUUGGAACAGUGACGUUCAGUCAGUGCUACACAGUUGAUUCAGCUUACGUGGGCGUGAUGCCGCUUUCCCACAUGCAGAUAUCAGCUGUGUCAUUUCAAACCUGUUUUUAAUCAGCAUAACCACGAGCUGCUGCCAGGAGGCGGGACACAAGCUGCAGUUUGUGUGAAUUUCCGUGAAUAGCUCGAGUCGCUUGGCAGGUUGAUUAACAAAGCCUUCGGGUUGAGAGGGAGCUUGUUCUGACCUGUCACAGGAUUCUUGGGCAAAGAUAAGAUUAGUUCAAUUCCUCAUCUGUUACCUAUUGUGGUUUAGAUGACAAGUGAAUUAAAAGUUAAUUCCACUUUCUAAAGAAACUUGAUUCUUCAAGGUGCAAAGCAGGCUGUAAGAGAUGUUCAGCCAUUCUUUAAUGUCAAGUGUGCUAUUCAACACGGCAGGAAAACUCCAUCCAUUCACUCUUAAUAACUGUCUAAUUGUGAAUGAUUCAUUGGUGCAUGUUAUUCAAAAGAAAAACUGUUUGCCUUUCUAAUCUUUUAUCAGAAUGUAACAACUUGCUCCACCUUGACCUGUCUUUCCAAUUUGGCUGACAUCAUUUAGGAUGCCAAGCUGUUGGACAAUGUUAACCAACAGCCAAAUAAUAAAACCAAGUCUUGACCUAGAUUUUUUUUUUUUUACUUAAUAAAUAUCCCUUUCACUUGGAAAUGCAUUACAUUAUGAAAGUAAAUAGUUUGCAAACAAGCUUGUUCUUGUCUUAUUGCCUUUUAGUUACAAGAGCAAAUACAUUUUUUUUAUACUGCCAUUUGUCUAUUUUUUUUAGCCUGAUUUGCAAAAUGUAUUAUACCAUUGUUGUCCUAUUUAAUUGCUGAA